Molecule: ribosomal RNA, 853 nt
Filed under: uncultured fungus
Lineage: Eukaryota; Fungi
Description: SSU rRNA
Rfam family: Eukaryotic small subunit ribosomal RNA
Source: RNAcentral
GUGCCAGCAGCCGCGGUAAUUCCAGCUCCAAUAGCGUAUAUUAAAGUUGUUGUGGUUAAAAAGCUCGUAGUUGAACCUUGGGCCUGGCUGGCCGGUCCGCCUCACCGCGUGCACUGGUCCGGCCGGGCCUUUCCCUCUGUGGAACCCCAUACCCUUCACUGGGCGUGGCGGGGAAACAGGACAUUUACUUUGAAAAAAUUAGAGUGCUCCAGGCAGGCCUAUGCUCGAAUACAUUAGCAUGGAAUAAUAAAAUAGGACGCGCGGUUCUAUUUUGUUGGUUUAUAGGACCGCCGUAAUGAUUAAUAGGGACAGUCGGGGGCAUCAGUAUUCAACUGUCAGAGGUGAAAUUCUUGGAUCAGUUGAAGACUAACUACUGCGAAAGCAUUUGCCAAGGAUGUUUUCAUUAAUCAGGAACGAAAGUUAGGGGAUCGAAGACGAUCAGAUACCGUCGUAGUCUUAACCAUAAACUAUGCCGACUAGGGAUCGGACGGUGUUAUUCAUGACCCGUUCGGCACCUUACGAGAAAUCAAAGUGCUUGGGCUCCAGGGGGAGUAUGGUCGCAAGGCUGAAACUUAAAGAAAUUGACGGAAGGGCACCACCAGGGGUGGAGCCUGCGGCUUAAUUUGACUCAACACGGGGAAACUCAUCCAGGUCCAGACACAAUAAGGAUUGACAGAUUGAGAGCUCUUUCUUGAUUUUGUGGUGGUGAUGCAUGACCGUUCUUAGUUGGUGGGGGUGACUUGUCUGCUUAAUUGCGAUACGACGAGACCUUAACUGCUAAAUAGCUCGCAUGCUCGCAGUGCGCUGCUUCUUAGAGGGACUUUCGGCUCAGCCGAAGGAAGUUGAGGCCAUA